RNAcentral lists this unclassified non-coding RNA (207 nucleotides) under air metagenome. Its description in RNAcentral is "partial contains small subunit ribosomal RNA, internal transcribed spacer 1, and 5.8S ribosomal RNA". The stretch from base 1 to 46 matches the Rfam family "Eukaryotic small subunit ribosomal RNA", at positions 1786 to 1831 of the family's 1831-position model. The record is from RNAcentral.
AAGUCGUAACAAGGUUUCCGUAGGUGAACCUGCGGAAGGAUCAUUAGUGAAUAACCAAGGUCGGACUCUGUAAAGAGGAAGCCUUAACACUUAUUUUCAUACACCUGUGCAUUUGACCCUUUUUAAAAACACAAUGUUAACAUACAGUCGUUUAAAACACAAAUAUAAAAGAAAGUAAAACUUUCAGCAAUGGAUCUCUUGGCUCUC